Molecule: ribosomal RNA, 1554 nt
Filed under: Escherichia coli
Lineage: Bacteria; Pseudomonadati; Pseudomonadota; Gammaproteobacteria; Enterobacterales; Enterobacteriaceae
Description: bacterial SSU rRNA
Rfam family: Bacterial small subunit ribosomal RNA
Source: RNAcentral
AAAUUGAAGAGUUUGAUCAUGGCUCAGAUUGAACGCUGGCGGCAGGCCUAACACAUGCAAGUCGAACGGUAACAGAAAGAAGCUUGCUUCUUUGCUGACGAGUGGCGGACGGGUGAGUAAUGUCUGGGAAACUGCCUGAUGGAGGGGGAUAACUACUGGAAACGGUAGCUAAUACCGCAUAACGUCGCAAGACCAAAGAGGGGGACCUUCGGGCCUCUUGCCAUCGGAUGUGCCCAGAUGGGAUUAGCUUGUUGGUGGGGUAACGGCUCACCAAGGCGACGAUCCCUAGCUGGUCUGAGAGGAUGACCAGCCACACUGGAACUGAGACACGGUCCAGACUCCUACGGGAGGCAGCAGUGGGGAAUAUUGCACAAUGGGCGCAAGCCUGAUGCAGCCAUGCCGCGUGUAUGAAGAAGGCCUUCGGGUUGUAAAGUACUUUCAGCGGGGAGGAAGGGAGUAAAGUUAAUACCUUUACUCAUUGACGUUACCCGCAGAAGAAGCACCGGCUAACUCCGUGCCAGCAGCCGCGGUAAUACGGAGGGUGCAAGCGUUAAUCGGAAUUACUGGGCGUAAAGCGCACGCAGGCGGUUUGUUAAGUCAGAUGUGAAAUCCCCGGGCUCAACCUGGGAACUGCAUCUGAUACUGGCAAGCUUGAGUCUCGUAGAGGGGGGUAGAAUUCCAGGUGUAGCGGUGAAAUGCGUAGAGAUCUGGAGGAAUACCGGUGGCGAAGGCGGCCCCCUGGACGAAGACUGACGCUCAGGUGCGAAAGCGUGGGGAGCAAACAGGAUUAGAUACCCUGGUAGUCCACGCCGUAAACGAUGUCGACUUGGAGGUUGUGCCCUUGAGGCGUGGCUUCCGGAGCUAACGCGUUAAGUCGACCGCCUGGGGAGUACGGCCGCAAGGUUAAAACUCAAAUGAAUUGACGGGGGCCCGCACAAGCGGUGGAGCAUGUGGUUUAAUUCGAUGCAACGCGAAGAACCUUACCUGGUCUUGACAUCCACGGAAGUUUUCAGAGAUGAGAAUGUGCCUUCGGGAACCGUGAGACAGGUGCUGCAUGGCUGUCGUCAGCUCGUGUUGUGAAAUGUUGGGUUAAGUCCCGCAACGAGCGCAACCCUUAUCCUUUGUUGCCAGCGGUCCGGCCGGGAACUCAAAGGAGACUGCCAGUGAUAAACUGGAGGAAGGUGGGGAUGACGUCAAGUCAUCAUGGCCCUUACGACCAGGGCUACACACGUGCUACAAUGGCGCAUACAAAGAGAAGCGACCUCGCGAGAGCAAGCGGACCUCAUAAAGUGCGUCGUAGUCCGGAUUGGAGUCUGCAACUCGACUCCAUGAAGUCGGAAUCGCUAGUAAUCGUGGAUCAGAAUGCCACGGUGAAUACGUUCCCGGGCCUUGUACACACCGCCCGUCACACCAUGGGAGUGGGUUGCAAAAGAAGUAGGUAGCUUAACCUUCGGGAGGGCGCUUACCACUUUGUGAUUCAUGACUGGGGUGAAGUCGUAACAAGGUAACCGUAGGGGAACCUGCGGUUGGAUCACCUCCUUACCUUAAAGAAGC